GACGAACGCUGGCGGCGUGCUUAACACAUGCAAGUGGAGCGACGAACCAGGCUUCGGCCUGGGGCAAAGCCGCGAACGGGUGAGUAACACGUGGGUAACCUGCCCCGAAGAUCGGGACAACCCGGGGAAACCCGGGCUAAUACCGAAUGUGCUCCCGCCACAUCAGUGGCAGGUGCAAAGGAAGCUUCGGCCUCCGCUUCGGGAGGGGCCCGCGGCCCAUUAGCUUGUUGGUGAGGUAACGGCUCACCAAGGCUCCGAUGGGUAGCUGGUCUGAGAGGACGAUCAGCCACACUGGGACUGAGACACGGCCCAGACUCCUACGGGAGGCAGCAGUGGGGAAUCUUGCGCAAUGCGCGAAAGCGUGACGCAGCAACGCCGCGUGGGGAAGAAGGCC
This 394-nucleotide ribosomal RNA is filed under the name uncultured bacterium. RNAcentral's name for it is "bacterial SSU rRNA". It matches the Rfam family "Bacterial small subunit ribosomal RNA", at positions 28 to 416 of the family's 1533-position model. The record is from RNAcentral.